This is a long non-coding RNA of Xiphophorus hellerii (green swordtail), 584 nucleotides long. RefSeq lists it as uncharacterized. The transcript has 3 exons. Lineage: Eukaryota; Metazoa; Chordata; Actinopteri; Cyprinodontiformes; Poeciliidae. The record is from RefSeq and is a predicted model, not a curated record.
GCAGAAAUCCUGGAAUUUUUCUUAAAUGUCACUUAAAACUUGACUUCACAAAGAUCCCAAGCAGAAAAAUUAAAUUCAUAAAUGUCUGUAUGCAGAACAAUUUCAUUUCAGUGACCUUUUGAUGCAUUUUCUGUUUGCUUAUUAAAACCAUUUUGUUUUUUCAUGCUUUCUUAAUUCCAGUUUAAAAAACUGUCAACAUAAUUACUAACCAGAUUUGCUUCAGCGAACAAUUUCAUGAUGUUUCUCAGUUUUCUGCUUUAUUUUCUAUUAAUAAAACAUUUACUGUUACUAUUUCUGUUUUUGUACCAUAACCACAACUGAUCAUUAUCUUUGGUCAAAUUCAGAUGUGAUUGGAAAAAUAAAUAUGAUGUAUCAAAAAUGUAAUCAACUUACAGAAAACUUUACUUCAACUGUUUGAUUCUUCAUCUCAUAUGCAAAAGAAUAUUGUAUUAGAAAAUGAUGCAAACCAUUCAAAUAAUGUGUUACCGUCUGACUUUAUCUUAUCUUAUAUUUCAUCUUUUGCUUCUGACUUUUUCAUUUGCAAAUAGAAAAUAAAAAGAAAAGUUUUUGCAAAUUUUUCAUAA